GGUUAGAUGGCCUCUGUAAAUGACAUCGUAGCCAGGUACGAACUCAUCAUACAUCUCUCUAAAGAAAGGCAACCCACUAAUAAAAUACAUGCCGAGAAGGGAGAUGCCCUCCUCUUUAUAAUCAAAUAACCAAGUGUUGCUCACGUUAUUCCAUGCCUCCAGGAGGGCCUUCAUCAUGUUGGAACAUCAAUCAUAGUAACCAGCAGAACAUUGACUUGCGGUUAACAACGGAGCAGAAUCCUUGAAAUGCUACAACAAGUCAAAAGUCCUAGAGCAAUACCCUUUCAUAUACUGAUGCUCCUCUUGAAAAUAGAGCCCCUUCAAGGACCACACCAACUCAUCCGAUGCCAUCAUCCUCUUCCCAAGAGUAAGAAGUUCUAAACUAGAGCCAUAAUCCUAGGGCUGGUUUGGGUACUUGGAUUGGACUCUCCACGAUAAGGCUAUCCUAGCGUUGGGCCCUUAUCCCUUGUUUGGGUAGCACAUUCACGAAUAGAUAGCCGAAUCCCAAAGAGUGGCCGAUCCACAUUUUUGGGCCAAAAACGUGGAAGAUGCCAUUCCACCAAAAUAGGUGGAAUAGGGCUAUGUGCGGUUUUUUACAUUGGACAAUACUGUCAGAUUAAAAAAUUUACAAUUCAUUCAAGUUAAUUUGAAACAUUGACGUCCGCAAAUCACCAAGACAUCUUACUUAAAUAUUAUAUUAUAUAUCACAUAUAAUGUAAUAAAUAUUCAUAAUAUAGUAUAUAUUAAUAGCAUAAAUAGUUAAAGGGUGUGGUUUGUAUAGAGCCUAGGCUCUAAACAAUCAAAUUAGAGCCUACCUUCAAAUAGUAUCGAGAAAUAUGGUUUCAAUACUGGAAAUCUUUAUGAUAGCCUUAAAAUACAUUUUCAUCUUUAUUUAUAAAGUUUAAAGCGUAAAAAAUAGUGUAGAUUGAAAGAUAUAUGAAAACUUGAAAAUCUUGAAAAUUGACGGUCCGAAAAUGUGUUACAAAAUACACUAUUUCCAAAACUUGAAAUCUAUUUUUUCCUCGUGGCCAUACAUCUUGAUGUCUAGCUGAUCAAUUUGAAGAUAUUUGGGCAUCAAAACAACCCGUUCUAAUGAAGUUUUUGAGGUAGGCUUGCUCUAAUCUGAUUGUUUAGAGCCUUGGCUCUAUAUAAACAUUUCCCAUCUAUACAUAUGUAAUAUAUAUACCAUAAUACAAUAUGUAAUAUGAUGUAUUUUAUAUUUAUUUUAUUAAUGUAUAUUUCUCCACCCCUUAAAGAGAAAGUACUUUCGUUAUAUAAUAUAAUAUAAUUUAUAUUUUUAUACUAUAUAUAUAUAUAUAUANNNNNNNNNNNNNNNNNNNNAUUAUUAUGCUAUAAAUACAUUCCCUGGGGCUUUCAAAGCCAUGGCUCAAGCAAUGUGUGCUUCCCCGACGGACCCCAAGAGCGAACUCGAAGGGGUGAGGAAGGGAUUGUUGUGAGUUUGUGUGCUUUGCUUUAUAGCUGCUUAUUUGUUUAUUCCGGUAUGGAGCCAGGCCUCGACAGGAUAGCUAUAGCAUGCCUUAACCCUCCCCUUUGUGACAACCCUCCUCUUUGUGACAACUAGGGGCGGGGACGCAGUGCCUCGGCAAGUGUCCAACCUCAAUGUCCAGAGGCAAUUGGCGAGUAGCCCUCUUCGGUCUUGCUAAUCCCUUCAUCCCUCUGUCAAUAUGCCAAAAUCAGCAGGUAUGAUAUUGAUGUAACAUAACCCUUCUCAACAAGGUUAGAAUACCUUUAGCAUAGAGAGGUGGACCUAGGUUGCAUUUGCCCAUGCGAGAUCAUAGCUUCCUUAGCUGGCUGACAGGUGUGGCAAGCAUUCGUUGUACCAGCUGUCUUGCUCGCUAUGCCAUGGACUUGUGUUUGGAAUUGGCCUCCUCCUCUUUCUAUGGAGGAGGUACAACAGUGGAACCCAUAGUUUCUAAAUGCCAUACUGCAGUAUAUUUUCCUUCCCUCUUAUAGGUCAACUAUCGUGUUGCUUUGACUCUGUACCUCAGGUGUCUACUUCUUUUUCGCCCUUCGUGCACUGAGUGCAUGCAAAACGAGCGACAAGGAGAGGCAAUUGUAGAACCCUGAUCUUGCUUGAGGGAAUUGUAGGAAAACAAAGGACCCCAGAACAAUCACUAUAAGCUUUAGAAUCACCUAGAAUCCCAAAACUAGUACCUUAAGACCAAAACCACUCUUCACGAUCCGUCAUGAAGGCCUAGCCCUUAGUCAAGAACUACAGAAAGGCCCCUAAUAGGUCAAGAAUGGCCUUAAGACAAGAGGAAAUCUGGAAGAAACCGCUUGAGAUUGCUUGAGUACCAGCUUGAGUUCAACACCACUACCAGUGGUGCCAAUGCUAGGGAUGGCUAUGCCUCGGUGUCAGCACAACACUAUGGGUAUGAAUGUCAGUGAUAGGAUUAGCAACACCCAAUGGAUGGUGGCGCAAGUUACAACCCUGGCAUCAUUGGAAUGCGGUUGCAGGUGAUCAUGAUUGCCUCCGAUGACAGAGGUAGCAGCGUCGAGUUCCUAUUGGAUGAGUUUGAUGCCAAUUGCUAGACAUCAAAGUGCUCAAAUUGUGGAAUAAAGUAACCAUCAUUGCCUUAAUGAUGGGGGUGCCAGCGUCCAAUGCUACCGAGAGUAAUGUCACCUUCUCAUUGGCAUUGCCCAUCGUCUAACAUUUGGAUGCACAGAUUAUGGCAGAAAGCAAUCAUCAUUGUUUAGACGAUGUGGGUACCAACACUAGCAAUGUAGCUAGCUACGUCCAGACCAAUUUUGAAUAUGAAAUACUAAUAGAAAUGUUCAAUACCCCUAGUAGGGUCGUUGUCUAUCUAACACGCCACCACCCAUGAUCACAUCAACCGUAAAUCAAGGGGUUGCGUAUUACGAAACCCAUAAUCACAUAGGACCAGCAUCAUCACUAGCAUGUCCAUUUUUAAAUAAUUUAAUGGCAGCAAAGCAUAAUGACGCUAGUAGCAGUGUCAACGAGGCCACUAGCAGCGUUGAUAUCAGACGACCAAGAUUUAAUACUAGACUUAAUACAGUGUUUAGAGGAUCCAUCUGCUUAUAAAUAGGGGUUGACCCCUAUUUAUGGAACCGAAAUUUUGAUUUGAGCCAAAAUUUUGCCGCACUAUAGACUGGAUUCUUCGAGCCUUAGCCAGACCUUACUAAACCCGAUACUAGCCCUUGAACCCUUUGACCCAGACUUUCAAUCUCUAUUGUGGGUCGAGGACUUGGCUACCAUUGAGGGAUAAAAUCAUCUCCAUUUGAGCUAAACCAUGGUUAUGUAACCUAAAAUAUGGCUUUUCCAUCGGCUCUAGAUCAAUCCCCAAGUAUCGACAAUUAUGGCAUAUCGUAGCAACCAAUAAAUUUUGAGACAUACCAAAAUGGCAUCCAAUAUGAAUUUUAGACAAGAGGCAUAUGAGCCCUCAUUAUGAAUAUCUAAAAAGUUAAACCUCUAUCUAAUAUGAUUUGAUGAGGCUUAACAUAAAAUGCUUGUCAAAUCCCUCUUGACAAACAAUGGUAUUCUCGACAUGUCAAGUCAUAAUCAAACUCCUCUAGUAUAAUAUAUAGAGACAUAAGGGCAAAGGGCCAACGUUUUUUUAUUUUUUGGAUGAGAUCUUUUGAUAGUCCUUAAAAUGGAUGGGUCGUAGAGAUAUGCAUAGUGACCAGCUGUCAGGGCAUCCGGGGCAUAUUGGGUCCAUGGAUGAAAAGUCUUGAUUUUAUCAUAUCUUAUUCAUGAUAUUUGAAAUGUAUUUGCAAACAUUUCUUGAGAUUACGUCCAUGUCCUCACAUAUGAUCCCACUGGUUAUUAAGCCUACAUGUGCUUAGCGAUCGCUCAGUUCUAUUCACUUCUUGCCUUAGUAUAAAUCCCUAUCUUCAAUUAUGAAUUUCUCGAGUGUGUUUGGUCCUUGAUUUAUGGGUCUGAAAACAUACCUAAUAAAACUGCCCUAUUACAGAUGUGGCUCACCAAAACGUGUGGGAUUCGAUAAUUUGGGUGGAUUAUCAAUUUCACCCUAUUCUCAUUCUUGCAUAGAUAAUUGUUGCCAUUGAGGCUUAGUGUGUAUAAUUUAUCAACUCACUUCACUAUGAGGCUUUCAAGUUCCCUCAUUUGUCUUUUUUAUGAAGAGGCUUCUCUCUUCGUGUUCUUCUUUUCCCUUCAUACAUACAAGACGGGCUACACAUCCAACCAUCUGUAGCCAUGACUGUCCAGAGUCUCCUCCAUGUCAACUGGCAACGAGUCUCCUUUAGUGGCUGCCAUAGCUAUAGAUGGCAGCAAUGAUGGGUCCUCCCUAAGCUUAUGGUCUGCACCGUCAAAGCAAUCCUCAUCUUUCGACGAAGAAGAAGGACCACCCCCUUUUAACAACUUAUCAUAUCUUCGCAGCCUUAUGAAGGUGAAAUAGCUUAUUAUUAACAUUUGUCUUAGGUAUAUGAGGAUGAGGCCAUACGUUUAGUACAAAUCUUGGAGUCUUUGUCCAAUGAAAAGAAGUGGAUGAAAUCACCAAGAUCAUUUGUAUCUAAAUUUUGGAUGUCAUGGCAUUUGGGAUGAGGAGCUGCUGAUUGUCUUGGUCCUCCCGCUUUCUUCUUCUUUUAUUUUCUUCUAAAUAAUAAGGGCAUAGCCCUAUCCUUUGUUAGGUACCUAAAUAUUUCGCCUCAAAACCCUUGGGUGAUGGAAAUGCAGAAAGUUUGGGCCCUAAACCACCUAAGGAUGGAAAUAUAUCACCAUGCUUUGCUAUCGACGUCCUCUAUGGGAUAAAGAAGCCCUUUGAAGGUUUUCUAUGGGAUUUUUAGUAAGAGGUGAUCUCCUGUUCAAGAGGUCCUUCAAUGGCAUCAUUCCACAGUGUCUUGAUCAGGCAAAAAUCGAUCAAGUACUGACAGAGUUACACAAUGAAUGAGGUCAUUCUGGCAUAGCCGCCUUAGCUCAGAAAAUCAGGCGCCAAGGCUAUUACUGGACCACCAUGGCUGAAAAUUGUUGGAAGUUCGUAAAUAUGUGUCCCAAAUGUCAGCUUUAUGGAGACCUCAUCCAUGCACUGUCCGUACCACUCAACUCAACACUGCCUAUAUGGCCCUUUGCCAUGUGGGGUCUUGAUAUCAUCGGAAUGAUCUCACCGAAAGCCUCAAAUGGCCACCGUUUUAUAUUAACGGUUACAUAGUACUUUACCAAAUGGGUAGAGACCGCAUUAUUUGUAAAAAUUAAGGGACAACAUGUUGCCCGUUUCAUAAAGAACAAUAUUGUAUUCAGGUUUGGUGUUCCUGAGUCAAUCAUUACUGACAAUAGAUCCAAUCUCAAAAAUAAAAAGGUAUCUAAGGUGCAAAAAUUUUGGGAUAACGUAGAAAUUCUCCAUACCUUACUACCCUCAAGGAAAUGGACAAGCAAAGGCUACAAACAAAUGACUUCUCAGAAUUAUAGAUAGAAUAAUAGAAGGUGGCAAAGAUUGACACGAAAGCUAAAUGAUGCGCUAUGGGCCUACCGGAUAAUUGAGAUGACUCUUAUUGGCAUGACCCCGUGCUUAUUAGUGUAUGGUAUGGAAGCAGUGUUAUCCAUUGAAGUUGAGAUACCGUCUCUCCGAGUGCUUAUUCAUAAAGAUUCAGAUGAGGAACAAAAGAUCGAAUCACGAAUCGCUGUCUUAGUUAAUUUGGAUGAAAGACGACUACGAACAACACAAAAUAUUGUUGCUUACCAGCGUAGAAUCGAGAGUGCAUACCAAAGUAAAGUUGUUCCUCGACAGUUCAGGGAAGGGGACAUGGUACUCAAGAAAAUCUUCCACACUAGUGCAAACCCACACCCUUUAGGCAAGUUCAAACCUAGUUGGGAUGGGCCAUUCGUGGUCACCCGAGCACGCAGGCAAUUCUUACAAGAUCAAGAAUCAGGAGGGGUGCAAGCUCAACGUCCCUAUCAAUGAGAUGUACAAUAGAAAAUACUACUCGUAACGAGCUCAAAAAAGUGGUGAAAACUUGAAAAGGCAUUACAAAAAAAAUAAAAAAUGGACGUGGUGACAACCUGAAAGGACAUCACAGGUAAAAAAAAAAAAAAAAUCUCCAAGAAGGAGCUUCUUAUUCAAAAACACUCAAGUACAAACAAGUACUUGCAAGUUCCAACAAUACGACACAAGCAAACCCUAAGGACAAAGAGUCCUCCUAAACCCUGCAGGUUCCCAACAUAACCAACUCAGAAAGAUGCAAGAGCAUGAUAUGAAUGGAAAACCAAAGUGACUUCAACGAAUCCUGGAAGAACAUCGGGACCUCUCCAAGAUGGAAGCUUAGCAAGAAUCCAGAGAACUCUUCAUGGACCCGCAAAGCACAAGAUGAAAGCUCCAAAGGUAAAAAGAUAACUUCGAGACUUUUGAGUUCUCACGAUCCCACAAGGAAAUCCUUUCAUUAUCUUUGGGUAAAAUAAAUAAAGAAAACGACCACCAAAGGGGCCACAGGUGGAAAAAUUGUAAGGCCCGUCUCUUUUAAAAGUGUUUUUUCAAUCUGUUGUUAAAACCCUCCAUUUUCAAAAUCCCUUUAGAAAGGACUUCCUCCAUCACUACAAGAGGUUAAACUGUUAAUCGAUCUGGCCUUGUUCUCGAAGCCAACUUCCUAUGCUUGUUAUGAAGGCUUGAAACUAGUCAGGCACACCAUGGUUGUAUGAGUAUAACUACCAACUACCACAUAUCUGAGAUGGGUGAACCUCACCAAUGAUGAUAUUGGCUAGUCUUGGAGCGUUUUUUCUCUCGACUGGAUCCCCUGAGGUAAAAUGAGGCAAGCUCAUCCCCAUGUGUACGUACGAUGUCCCAAAGUCCAAUUUGGAUAAGCGUCAAACUCGUACAACGUUAAAGAGCCGAGACAGGAUAAACAUUAAACUUGUGCGACGUAAAAGAGCCAAGACAUGAUAAAUGUCAAACUCGUGUGAUGUAAAAGAGCUGAGAUAGGAUAAGUGUCAAACUCAUGCGACGUUAAAGAGUCGAGACAAGAUAAACAUCAAACUCGUAUAACAUAAAAGAACCGAGACAGAAAAAAAAAAAAUUUGUCAAACUCGUGCAACAUUAAAACAUCGAGACAAGAAAACCAUCAAACUCGUUCGAUGUUAAAAAGCCGAGAUAAGAAAAACGUCAAACUCGUGCGACGUAAAAAAGCCGAGACAGGGAUUGUCCAGCCCUGUAUGACAUGAAAGGUCGGGUGUAUCCAGGGCACAACCACCCUGUUCAAUUGAAAAGCGUCAAACUCGUGCGAUGUAAAAGAGCCGAGACAGGGACCGUCCAGCCAUGUAUGACGUGAAAGGUCGGGUGUAUCCAGGGCACAACCACCCUGUUCAAUGAAAAAACGUCAAACUUGUGCAAUGUGCAAGAGCCGAGACAGGUAUCGUCUAGCCCCGUCUGACGUGAAAGGUCGGGUGUAUCCAGGGCACAACCACCCUGUUUCAAUAAAAAAACGUCAAAAUCGUGUGACGUAAAAGAGUCGAGGCAGGUACCAUCUAUCCCCAUAUGAUGUGAAAGUUUGGGUGUAUCCAAGGCACAACCACUCUGUUUGAUGGAAAAACGUCAAACUCGUGCGACGUAAAAGUGCAGAGGCAGGUAUCGUCUAGCCCCGUAUGACGAAAAAAGGUUGGGUGUAUCCAGAACACAACCACCCUGUUAACUAGAUUCCAACUAUCUCCGUAUUGACGUAAAAGGUUCGGGUGUAUGGUCUAUCGCUGCAUGAUGUUAAACUGCUUAGAGGGCUCUAUGGUUGUAGGAGUAAAAACUACUAACCAACCUUGUUUUUUGAAAUAUCUUUCUCUUUUCAAAAUUUUCACUAUAUGCCUUUUGUUUUCCAAAAACUUUAAUUUCUUUGUUAAAGUCGUAACCUAUCCUUGCUCCGGAUUCUAUUUCAAAUCUCCCUCUACUUUAUAAAAUUCCUAAAAAAGUCUUAAAAAACGAAUGAUCGUGGACAUCAUAUAUGAUGAUUACCGCGUUGCCACGUUGCUGCCUCGUCUCUUACUUUGGAUUCAGCCAAGCAACUCUCUUCCUAUAAAAGGCCUUUUUCUAUAGACAGCCUUAGGAAACCCUAAGUAGAUAAAAAAAAAUGUCAGGGUUAAAAAAUUCAAACUACAAAAACCCUGAAACUAAGUGGCAUAGCUAAAAAAUCCAACUCGAGUUUCAAGCUUGUGUAACUCACCGACAUGUCACACCAAAAACCCUAGAACGAAAAAUGUCCUAGGUGGGUGAGGUCAGUGAGCUGAAUGACUUGAAAGGAUAAUUGAUGUGCCCCUUGACCAUGUGACCUCAAGAAGAUAUUUAAAAUGUCUGCUUUAUCUUUGACGUUCACCUGCCCCUCGAAAGACAGGGAACGCCAAAGUGUCUACUUCUUUACCACUCACCUAUCUCUCAAAGGAUAAGGAGUGCCAAAGAGGGGCAACAGUAGACACCCCAUUUUAAAUUUGGAAAAUUAUAUGGUUUUCUUACCCCUUAGGACCACAUUAUCCUAGUAGACCCAAUUUAAUUAACCUGAAACUACCCAAAUCCUAUCCCAAUUUGAAUUAGAGCCCAAGAACUUUCCAACGGUCCAAGAAUCGCCUGAAUCGGAUAUACGGAUAAAAAGAUUUAACAAAUAACAAUUUAGUUCAUGUGAGACCCAAAGGUCGUGUCGUGGGCAGGGCUGUAACGGGCCCGGCAGGCCCAGAAGCGGGCUGAUGUUGCAGUCAACGCAUCUGAUGAAGUAGUAAACGUGUUUUCUUUAAUUAGAUAAGGCUAAACUUCAAGAUAAAUCUAAAAAAUUUCUAAAAAACUCGAAAAAAUUUAGAAAAAAUCACCCAUUGAAUCUUGUAAAUACUCCCUCUCCCUAACCCAAAAAGAGAGAGAAAAAAAGACCAAAAAGACCUUAGAAAUUGCCUAAAUUAGGAAAAUUAUUCAAAAAUACCAAAAAUAGGAAAAACCCUUAAAAAUUUCCUAAAAAUUUAGGAAAAAUCCUCAAAAAUCCCAAAACAUUAGAGAAAAUCUCAUAAUUCAUAUUCAACCUUUGGAGAUCACAAAAACCUUAAAAAACUAAGAAAAUUCUCUUUCAGACCUCGAGAAAGACCGACAGCUUUAAAAAAAUCUUUAGAUUGAAAAUCCUAGAGAAGAUAAAAACCCUAGCCUCCUAAAGUCCUAAUCCCCAAUACUGAGAAAAUCUAGACCUAGGGCACAAAUAGAUCAAAACUAGAAUUAGGACACAACCACUCUAGAUCUAACCCUUUACACCAGAGAUUUGCUGGUCAACAUCCGAAUCAGAGAGGCAAAGACGACCGGUUCUGAUACGGGCGAGCCCUCAUAGGCUCAAGAAUCCCGAGCCAUCCGACCCGGUUUGGUAUUUUUUCUUCCUCUCUGUUUCUUCUUCCUUUUGCUGUUUUACUUCUUUUACUUAUUUUUGAUAUGUUAACUUGUCUUAAAAAUCGUAUUUUAAUGCUUGGGAUCAUGAUGGCUCUGUCACAGAUCUGAGAGUAAAUCUACUCGUUUCUGAGCAAAUCUGAAUUCGAUCUGUCCCACUUUCUCUACCACUUUAUUUACAUUUUUUUAAUUAGUUUAAGGUGUUAAAAUUUGAGAUAUCUUCAUCGGAAGAUAUGUCAUAUUUUCAUCGUAAACACCAUUUAGAGGUACCCAUGUCUUUUUAUUGUUGUUUUGCCUAUGUAGAGAGAUGUACUACGACCCAAGUGUGAGGGCGUGGGACUUAGACACCAAGUCCACCACCAAGUCAUACUAAAGGUCUGGUAAGUCGGUCAGUCGUCUAGUGAGAUAUCGUACUAUUGUCCCCUAGGAUUAUGGGACUCAGCCCUAGCUUGAGCCCAUAGUUAGGCCACCUAGUUAUCUUUUUGAUGACCAACUAAAUUACUGGCUGGAUGCUAGUUAUCUUUUAGAUGAACCCUAGCCUAGGACAUGCAGCAAAACUUUCGACCCAACCUAAUCUAGAGCCCCAUCAGUUCGGUCGAGUGCUGCCCGACCCGCUUUUGAAUUAUCUUACCAUUUCUACCCUUCCCAGCCUAAGGAGACACCACUUAUCCUCAUGACACCAAGUUAUCCACUACCAUAUCAACCAACACCCAUUUACCUAGCUGCUCAACCUGUCAACUUGGGGAGCAACCCUUGGGCGCCAUCCAUGCAGGUGAAUGUCAAAUACCUAUCUUUGGAGAACCAGGUUAAGGCCAUGAGAGGAGCCCCACAACGAAUGGGAGUUGACAAUCCAGCCCUCAUGGAACCCUAUGAUGAAUCCUACCUAGACAACAUUGCCAAUCUCCCCAUGAACUUGGAUUUUUGAAACUGCUUCAAUGGAAAAGGCGACGUCAACCUGUAUGUGACAAGUUAUCUGCUCGUUGUACCUACUUUAUGUGACACGCCACUCGCCCUGAGGGAAAUAAUUGUUCACAGUCUCGCAAGAGACACAAUCACAUGAUAUAACAACUUUGUGAGGGACUACCCCAUGACCUCAUGCCAAGACAUGUUUAGGAAAUUCGUAGUGAACCACUGGACUAAGAAACCACCCUCGAUCCCCCUCGCGAAACUAGAAGCCUUCAAACAAGGACCCAAUGAAGUGUUCACCAAUUUCUUUGACCAGUUCAAUGCUAUGGUCGCAAGGGUCACAAAAUGUCCCUUAUCGAACCCCGCUAAGAUGAGCAUGAUUGUGGAGAAUGCCAAUCUCGACUAUAAGUUAUUUUUCAGUCACAACGAUGUCCCUCUGAAUUUCAACAUUAUGUAAGAUAGAAGCACGCUUUACUAAAGGACUCCGAGGCGGUCGGUACUAAGCCGGUUGAGAAUCAAAUGAUUAACGAGCUCCCGCAAAAAACAGCUCAAGGAAAGACUCAAGAAGCUGAGAAGGUGAACCCGAUCAUCUUCCACCAAGCGAGUCCGGAUAACCAACAUCCUCCGGCUAGUCAAAACCAUCAAGGGAAUAAGGAUGUGAAUGGUAAUUGUUAUCGGUCAUACAAUCAGUCCAUAAGCCCACAAAUGCACUUCACCCCUUUGAAACAACCAUUGGUUGAACUCCAUCGACAACUCCAUGAGGACAGAGACUUAAUUCUUCCUCCCCAGAUGCCACCCCCAUAUGAGGUAAAGGACAAGAUCAAGUGGUGUGAAUGGAAUCGACACUACCACCACACCACCCAAAAUUACGUCUCCUUGAAGAACCAAGUCGAAAACCUUAUUGAAAAAGGGCUGAUCAAGGUGGUUAAGCUUGGUGAGCCCAUUAAAGAGGCCAAUUAAAAAAUAGGAAUUUAUGUCAACCCACUGCCAAGCAAUGAUCCCCUUAAGCACACAACUACUGGCAGUUACAAAAUUGUCGGUAGUGGACCCAAAGGGAAAAGCAACAGUCUCAGUGGUUCAUGAGGACCCGUACAUUUUAAACCCUUCUUUCCUCAUUUCCCUUACAUGAUAACCACUACCCUAAAUUUCCAAGUUCCAAGGGAAACAAACACUCAGGAACCUUCACCAUUGCAUCAAGAUGCCAAGAUGCUCCCCAAUAAGGAGCUCGAAGAAGAAGUUCACUCCUUCUCUAUUGACUUAGGAGUGAUCAAUGUUGAAGGCGAUCAUCCUGCCCAAAAGAAAAUCCAGCUGGAAGGAGCAUACAAGGGUGUCGACGCAUGGAUUAAAGAAGAACCCUCAUAUGUCCUUGCAGACGAAGCUAUCACAUGCCUCACGAGGCACGGCUGUUACUUUAAACCAACCCGGCUCAAAACCGAAAACCUACAAGAAAGGAUAGCAGGUCCUACCCCUACACCUCAAGCUACCGCUGACAAUCUAACCCCAGCCACUUGACCAACUCAAGAGGGGGUAAUCUUCAACAUUCCUAGUAACGAUCUCCCAGCUCAUCUAGAUAAGAUCCCAACCUCUAUAUCCGUGCUAGAUAUUCUUAGGAGAUCUCCAACCCAUUGGCGCCAAAUCGAGAGUGUACUCCAAAAGUCACGCAUCUCCCCCGAAACAGGACUGGAAGAGCUUAGUGGGAUGAUCAUGCAAUUGACGACUUCAAUGGCCAUAACUUUUAGUGAUAAUGACCUCCCCCUAACUUCGAUCGACACCAUAAUCGAGCGCUUUACAUAACGGUUCAUUCCAUAGGUCACGGGAUCCCUAGGGUAAUCAUAGAUAAUGGGGCAGCCCUUAACAGUUAUCUGGUAAGGACGUUAAAUAAAAUAGGUAUGGGCCUAGCUUUCUUAGAACCCUCUUAGCUCACCAUCACAGCUUAUGACGGGACCAAGAGGUAGGCGGAUGGUAUUAUGCCCAUAGCUCUCAUUGUAGGACCUAUAUCCCAAAUGGUGAGAUUUGAUUUCUCAGAUAUAGAUUCCUUUUUUAAUUUUCUCCUAAGGCGGCCUUGGCUUCAUGAGAAUCUGUGCAUAGCCUCAAUAUUUCACCAGUGUCUCAAAUUUCCCAUGGCUCAAGGGAUGGUAACGAUUUUUGCAAAUCAACCCCAAACAAUCAAUUUGUUGGAACUAGACCAAUCAUGGGGCAUCAAUGACGUGGGAGCCAUGAUGUACCUCUGGUAACAUACGAUGAACCUCAUUGUACUAUUUUGACCUUUAAAGUCAGCAACCCAUCUCUCAAAAAAUUCUGAAGCUCUCCAUAUUUCGAACAAAUUCGAUUCUGUUACGAGAAGUACAAUUACAAGUCGCCUGAAACCCCGCAUAUGCUGUUAGACCAAGGCUUUCAUGUCGAGCACAUCUUAGGAGUUAUGGAAGAAGAGGUGUCUGUGGCAAUCACAGAAGCCCCGAAUGCUAAAAGAGAAAAGAAAGACCAAAGAGGGCUAGGGUGUUCACACACCCUCAUUGAGGCUCAUGAGAGGCUCGAAGGACCAAUCCACUCCGAUUCUAUAAGCCAUGUUCCCUUGAACCCACAAAUGGGAAAUGUUACUAAUUGACCCGAUGGAGCCUUACGAUUUCCAAAUCAGGGUCAACUAAGUCUUACACCUCCACUCGAUAUUCUUGACUCCACAAGGAUUUUGAAAAUUUCAUUUCAAACAAGAACCCACACUCCCCAGUCGAGGACCAUCUUGUCAGGCUCAGCUUGAGUAGUCGAGGGGCAAAGGCUCCAUUCGAGGCUAUGCUCCCCCGACAUCCCAAGAAGGCUAGCGGCAAAAUUGGCCACUCGUUCUGAUGACCUCCAUUUCACUGGAAGGCUUCCAACGGCAUCAACAAACGUCGAUCCCAAAAAAUGAGUAGGCACAAUGUACCCAUAGGAGUACCAUGUGCCCUCUUAUCCACCUGUCACUGCUAUUAACCCCGCAUUGGCUUAAUUCUAAAAUUGAUGAAAACUUUGACAAAUCUAAUAAUUAUUCACAUUUCUCUAAGGAAAACAAUUUUGAAGGUGUGAAAGACUAAAAACAAAUCCAAAAAAUCAUAUGAUGGAAAACCUAAUUCAUAAUGACGAUUCAGACUUUUCCUUCUCAGAUCAAGCGAAGGUGGAAGCCGAAAGUGAUCCCAAGUUGGAAGAGCUUAAAUCUCAUAUCGAGUUGCUCGAUCAAAAAUUCGAUGGUAACUCGACUGCCACUGUCAAAUAGACAUUUGAUGUUAACCUUGACUCAGAGGGCGAUUCGAAGAUAACCAAGGUCAAGACUUCCCUAUCACCCAAGGAACAAGAAAAAAUGAUCGCCUUUCUUAAAGACCAUCGGGAUGUCUUUGUGUGGUUAUACAGUGACAUGCUCGGCUUGAGCUCUACCCUAGUGGAGCACCAACUCAGCUUACGCGACGAGGUGACCCCAGUCAAGAAAACGGCCAGGUGACGAAAGACCCAACUGGAACUUAAAACCAAAGAAGAAAUCGAUAAGCUUCUAAAUGUGAAUUUCAUCUUGCAUGUCGAUUACCCUGACUGGUUGGCCAAUAUCGUAGUCGUCCCCAAGAAAGACGAUUGAAUAUGAAUGUGUAUCGCUUUAGAGAUCUAAAUAAGGCAUGUCCAAAAGACGACUUUGCUUUGCCCAACAUAGAUGCCCUAAUCGAUAAUACCGCUAAACAUGAGUUGCUAUCAUGGCUAUAUCCAAAUCUGUAUGGCUAAGGAGGACGAAAUAAAAACCUCUUUCAUCACGCCAUGGGGAUCAUAAUGCUAAUCAUGCCCUUCGGACUCAAGAAUUUCGAAGCAACCUACCAAAGGGCCAUGACUUCUAUAUUCCAUGACAUGAUGCACAUCAAUAUGGAAGACUACGUGGACGACAUCCUAGUCAAAUCUAAACCUAGGGAUGGCCACCAAGCGACUUAAGAUUGGUAUUCGAUCGAUGCCGAAGAUGUCACCUUAAACUUGACCCUCAAAAGUGUGCUUUCGAAUUCGCUUUGGGAAAAUGGUUAGGCUUCAUUGUUAGUCAGAGGGGCAUUGAAGUAGACCCGUUCAAGAUCCGGGCCAUUACUGACAUGCCGCUUCCAAAGAACACAAGAGAAAUACAAGGCUGCAAGGAAGAAUAUAAGUCAUAGGCAUUUUGCAAUUUGUCAUUAGUGCUUCUUUUAUCUAUUAGCUACUCAUUCUCCCUUCCUAGUUGUACUUGCAAUAUAAUGUAAAGAGUACAACACAAUUGUUUGUGCGUUGGGUUCUUUGAGAACAAGGACUUGCAUAUAGUCAGUUAGGGUACCUUAUGCUAGAAACUUGAAGAAGGAGGUCUAGCAAUUCGUCAUAUUCACGAGGAGAUGAUGAAGUUAGCCUGGAGAAGGGUCUCAAAACCCUCCUCCCUUCUAUCUUGCUUCCUCAAGCACAUAUACUUUUGCCAUACAAUCCCCAGCUAAAAUUUUCUCUUAUGAAUGGAAGGGGGUAGCCAUGUGGUUAAAUAGAUUGCAGAAUGAUGUUACAUGGAUAAUCAGCCAUGGAAAGUUGAUAGACUUUAGGGCAAAACCUUAGUUGCUUGAACGAUCCUUAUGGGAACAACAUGGUGUAGAUGUUCUUACGGCCCUCAGCAGUUUGGUGAAGUUCAAGUUAUCAUUUAACAUCGAAGGUUCAACUAAAAAAUGGGCUCUUCCAUCCUUUAGCUCUGGUCCACUCCUCUAUGUCUAGGAGGAGGCACAUUCACGUGUUUGCCUAUAUAACCCUUACAUGAUCAUCUAGUUUGGAUCCACUUUGCUAUUGUUGAAUUCUCAGUGGGAAGUGUGUAGGACUACAUCAAACAAAAUCCCCCUGUUUAUGCAGCUUUCAGGGCCCUCUGGAAAACCCCAUCCCACCCUAGAGGGAAAUAGUGCACAUGGCUCGCCCUUCAUUCCAGUCUACCCACCAUGGGUUUGCUCCAAUCUAGAGCUUAACUUUGGUGUCCAAAUGUCUUUCUACCUCCAAGAGGAGGAGACGAAUGUGUGUUUUCUCACAAGUCCUUUAGAUAUUUGGCAAACUCAUAUUGAUCAAGCAAAUUACUUACGAUGAUGAUGGCCAAGUGGAUCAAAUUUCAGUUUAAGUCCACUGGCAUGAAAAUUGUUUGGCUCUUCAUUUUCUCCAUUACCAGCUAAUGCUUGUAGGCUGAGUGCAAUGCAUGUGCUCAUGAAGGGAGGAGCAAUUCCAAAGAGAACCUUCCAUGAUGAAUCAUUUGCCUUGUCAGCAGGUUUACAGAAAGGAAGGGAUGGGCUUUCCAUCCAUUAGAAAAUAUCAUCACCUCAAACCUCAAACUGAAGUGGUGUGUGAACCCUUCAUCCCAAACUAGAUUGCAUGGCUCUUCCCACCCACGUGUCACCUCAAGCUCAAAAAUAGACGGUUCGUCCCUUUGAUAUCUUUGUACAGCUAGUUAGGGGGAAGAUAUUAGAAAUGACACAAGUCGUUUUGCAGUAGCCUUUGCUACCUCCUUGGGUUUUACCUCUGACAAUGUCGUCUAGUUUCAUACCUUGAAUUAGGGAGUUUCAUUGGCAUGGGAACUCGACUACAAACAUUUAAUCAUUGAGAGCGACUCUGAAAUGCUUGUUGACUUCUUGACUCAAUGCAGUAGACUCCCAUAGAAGCUUCGUAUAAUCUUGUCCAACUACAGGACCGAGCUUUCUUCCUUUGCAGAUCAACUUUGGUAGGUCCUCAUGUUUUUAGGGAGGCAAAUACAGUAGUUGAUUGCCUAGCAGAAAGGGGGUUUUCAUUGGUAGAAGCAAUGGUAUUGCAGACUCGCCAGCCAGACCUGAUAGCUCCCCUUAUCAGACAUGGCAUCCCAUUCCCUUCAUAAGGAUUGUUAAAUGACUUUAAAUGUAAACACAUUGUUGAUUAGUAAUAUAACAUGUCAUCAUUCUCACUGAUUUACCAAAAAAAAAACAAAAUGAAAGUAAGCUUCAGUUACUAAGCUAGUGGCAUGUAAUUAGCAAGACCAUAUUUGAUUCACUAGCAGAGAAUUGGAUGCAUGCCAAAUGAAAAGCAAGGUGGGGGUGUUUUUUGUUGGGGAGCUCCUCACGUCUCUCUCCCUCUCACUUAUCACUUUUCUCUCUCCCUCUCACUUAUCACUUUUCUUUUCUUAUGGGAUUAUUACAUACAGAGAUGAAUUAUCAAAUUUACUAUUUGGUUCAUAAUUUCGUAACGGCAUCUUUCUUUCAUUUUUAAUUUUUUUUUUGUUUUAACCCCAGUUUCAAACAUAAAGCCGCUUAAUUUCUUAUUUUUUCACAUUUGUAGGGCGGUCCUUAUGUUUAAAAUAUCAAACCGCCCCAUUUGCAGGGCAUUUCGCUAAUUGCAAUAUCGGACCGCCCUACAUUUUUGGCCCAUCCUUCGCAAUCUAAUUUAUAAACAUCGUGCGGUCAUUAGUAAUAGUUUUUUAUAUUUUCGUGGUCCGAGCGUUUGAACAUGCGGAUCAUUGAUACUUAUGGGGAAAAAAUAUAUUAAAAAAAAAAAACGGUGUGAUAUCGAGCCCCCAUAGACAAUAUUAGCAAAAAGACGAUGUUGUAGUUAUCAAACAGCCGUACGAAUGGGGCAAUUAAACAUAUUGAAUGUUGGAUCGCCCCAGAAAUGUUAAAUAAUAAUAAUAAUUAAGAAAUAAGCAGUUUGAUAUUUAAAAUAUUAAAACAAAAGCAAUAAUAAAAAAAUAAAAAAAAAAGGGGAAUAAGACCUCAGGCUAUCGUUACCAAACGUAUUGUUCAAAUACGUGCAAAUGCCUUUAUUUUUCUAUAUGACCUUCAAAAAUAAUUCCGUACGAGUCUUAAAUACCAUAAGAGUGUGCCCACCAAGCAUUCAAUGAGAGAGAAAGGAGCUUUACUUGCAUAAACCAUCAAACGAUACAUUACAUAAAACAAAAGGAGAUGCUUUCACCUUCAUUUACCAUCUCAAACCCCAUCAUCACUCACUACCACUGAAUCCACUCUGAAUCUACAAAGAGGUUCAUUUACCAUCUCAAACCCCAUCAUCACUCACUACCACUGAAUCCACUCUGAAUCUACAAAGAGGACAUGAAGAGUGAGAAAGAAGCCACUUAUCAACACAUUCCAAAUGAAAACAGUGACCACAAUUCGGCAAAACCCUAAAAACCUGCCCCUCUUCCAAUCCACUCAAACAAACAGCGCACUCUCCACCCUCUCGAGGCACAGACCUAACCACCAAGCCCAUUUUGCAGGGUCCGGGCUCAACAGAACCGAGCCCAAAGCUCGAGCUGCAUAGCCUCCCAUAAAACGCGGUCACGACGAGCAAAGAGGAGAAGACAGAGAGGAGGCCAAGGGCCAGAGCGAGAGCGGGUCGGAGAGAGAAACUUGAAAUUUGGGUUUGUGGAGUGGUCGGAGAGAGAGAGGGUUGGGGUGAGGGGUUGUUGGGGAGAGAGAGGGAAGGGGAGUUGAGGAGAGAGGAUGAUGAGAGAGAGAAGGAGAGGACGAGGAGAGAGAACAUGAUGGUGGUGGUUGUGGUUAUGGUGGUGGUGGUGGUGGCCAUUGUUGGCUGUGGGAUUUGGGAUGGUGGGGAGUGAGAGAAGUGUGUGGUAAUGGAAUUUGUAAGGUCUUUUCAGCUGAGUUAGUUUUGGGGGUCAGAAAGCGCAUGUGAAACAAUGGGCGUGGGUCGGCUCAUUUAUGAGCAUUGGAAUGGACUGGUUUUUAGAGAAAGAAAAAGGGUUGAGGUAAAUUUGAUAGCAGAUGAUCUGGCCCAAAAAGGGGCUCAAUUUGAUGAAAUGAAGAUCGUCGAAGAGCUUUUUCUUUGACUUUGUCUUCCUUUGACAUUUUCUGUUCUUUUGUUUUUGUUGCAAAUAUGCAACACUCUAUUACUUAAUGAAAUUAUGGUACUUUAAUAAUAAUAAUAAUAAUAAUAAUAAUAAAUUAAUGAUUGUAUGAGACCCUCCCACAUCCAUAUAUAAAGGACGUCAAAUAAACACCCU
RNAcentral lists this long non-coding RNA (18186 nucleotides) under Amborella trichopoda. RNAcentral's name for it is "long non-coding RNA (ATRI_LNC002342)". The record is from RNAcentral. Lineage: Eukaryota; Viridiplantae; Streptophyta; Magnoliopsida; Amborellales; Amborellaceae.